Molecule: RNase P RNA, 410 nt
Filed under: Candidatus Scatenecus faecavium
Lineage: Bacteria; Bacillati; Candidatus Melainabacteria; Candidatus Gastranaerophilales; Candidatus Gastranaerophilaceae
Description: RNase P RNA component class A
Rfam family: Bacterial RNase P class A
About the family: Ribonuclease P (RNase P) is a ubiquitous endoribonuclease, found in archaea, bacteria and eukarya as well as chloroplasts and mitochondria.
Source: RNAcentral
UAAAGCAGCCGGAUAAUCGCGCAUUGCGCUGGCAGUGUUUUUGUUGAAAGACAGAAGCACAAGCGGCUGUCAGAUUUGACAGCCGGCUAACAAUGUGAGGAAAGUCCGUGCAUUCAAGGACAAAUCGCCGGGGAAACCCCGGACGGCGCGAGCCGGUGGAAAGUGCUACAGGAAACAUACUGCCGAUGGAAAUUCUAAAUUUCACAGGCGAUGGUGCAACGGUGAGUUAAGAGCUUCACCAGCAACACUGAGAAGUGUUGGCUAAGUAAACCCCGAUUGAAUGCAAGAUUAACUUGAAGGUUAAAGGCUGUCCGCCCACUUCAGAAAUAUCGCUAGAGAUUGCGGGUAACCGCAAUACCAGACAGAUGAUUAUCUAUAAACAGAACACGGCUUACGGGCUGCUUUAUUUU